RNAcentral lists this ribosomal RNA (465 nucleotides) under uncultured bacterium. RNAcentral describes it as "partial 16S ribosomal RNA". It matches the Rfam family "Bacterial small subunit ribosomal RNA", at positions 28 to 507 of the family's 1533-position model. The record is from RNAcentral.
GACGAACGCUGGCGGCGUGCUUAACACAUGCAAGUCGAACGGAAAGGCCCUGCUUGCAGGGUACUCGAGUGGCGAACGGGUGAGUAACACGUGGGUGAUCUGCCCUGCACUUCGGGAUAAGCCUGGGAAACUGGGUCUAAUACCGGAUAGGAGCCAUUUUUAGUGUGAUGGUUGGAAAGUUUUUUCGGUGUAGGAUGAGCUCGCGGCCUAUCAGCUUGUUGGUGGGGUAAUGGCCUACCAAGGCGGCGACGGGUAGCCGGCCUGAGAGGGUGGACGGCCACAUUGGGACUGAGAGACGGCCCAGACACCUACGGGAGGGAGAAGUGGGGAAGAUUGAACAAUGGGCGCAAGCCUGAUGAAGAGACGCCGCGGGGGGGAUGACGGCCUUCGGGUUGUAAAAUACUUUCGCUAGGGACGAAGCUUUUUGUGAUGGUACCUAGAUAAGAAGCACCGGCUAACUACGUG